UACAGGGGGCGAGCGUUGUCCGGAUUUAUUGGGCGUAAAGAGCUCGUAGGCGGCUCGGUAAGUCGGGUGUGAAACCUCCAGGCUCAACCUGGAGACGCCACCCGAUACUACCGUGGCUAGAGUCCGGUAGAGGAGCGUAGAAUUCCUGGUGUAGCGGCGAAAUGCGCAGAUAUCAGGAGGAAUACCAGCGGCGAAGGCGGCGCUCUGGGCCGGUACUGACGCUGAGGAGCGAAAGCGUGGGGAGCAAACAGG
This 252-nucleotide ribosomal RNA is filed under the name uncultured bacterium. Its description in RNAcentral is "partial 16S ribosomal RNA". It matches the Rfam family "Bacterial small subunit ribosomal RNA", at positions 526 to 776 of the family's 1533-position model. The record is from RNAcentral.